Molecule: ribosomal RNA, 541 nt
Filed under: uncultured bacterium
Lineage: Bacteria
Description: bacterial SSU rRNA
Rfam family: Bacterial small subunit ribosomal RNA
Source: RNAcentral
AACACAUGCAAGUCGAGCGCUCGUAGCAAUACGGGAGCGGCAGACGGGAGAGUAACACGUGGGAACGUACCCUUCGGUUCGGAAUAACCCAGGGAAACUUGGGCUAAUACCGGAUACGUCCGUAAGGAGAAAGAUUUAUCGCCGAGGGAUCGGCCCGCGUCCGAUUAGCUAGUUGGUGAGGUAAUGGCUCACCAAGGCGACGAUCGGUAGCUGGUCUGAGAGGAUGAUCAGCCUCACUGGGACUGAGACACGGCCCAGACUCCUACGGGAGGCAGCAGUGGGGAAUAUUGGACAAUGGGCGCAAGCCUGAUCCAGCCAUGCCGCGUGGGUGAUGAAGGCCUUAGGGUUGUAAAGCCCUUUCGGCGGGGAAGAUAAUGACGGUACCCGCAGAAGAAGCCCCGGCUAACUUCGUGCCAGCAGCCGCGGUAAUACGAAGGGGGCUAGCGUUGCUCGGAAUCACUGGGCGUAAAGCGCACGUAUGCGGGUCCUUAAGUCAGGGGUGAAAUCCUGGAGCUCAACUCCAGAACUGCCUUUGAUACUG